Molecule: ribosomal RNA, 425 nt
Filed under: uncultured bacterium
Lineage: Bacteria
Description: partial 16S ribosomal RNA
Rfam family: Bacterial small subunit ribosomal RNA
Source: RNAcentral
GUGGGGAAUCUUGUGCAAUGGGCGAAAGCCUGACGCAGCCAUGCCGCGUGAAUGAUGAAGGUCUUAGGAUUGUAAAAUUCUUUCACCGGGGACGAUAAUGACGGUACCCGGAGAAGAAGCUCCGGCUAACUUCGUGCCAGCAGCCGCGGUAAUACGAAGGGGGCUAGCGUUGCUCGGAAUUACUGGGCGUAAAGGGCGCGUAGGCGGACAGCUUAGUCAGAGGUGAAAGCCCAGGGCUCAACCUUGGAAUUGCCUUUGAUACUGGCUGUCUUGAGUUUGGGAGAGGUGAGUGGAACUCCGAGUGUAGAGGUGAAAUUCGUAGAUAUUCGGAAGAACACCAGUGGCGAAGGCGACUCACUGGCCCAAUACUGACGCUGAGGCGCGAAAGCGUGGGGAGCAAACAGGAUUAGAUACCCUUGUAGUCC